RNAcentral lists this transfer RNA (71 nucleotides) under Plesiops nakaharae. Its description in RNAcentral is "tRNA-Tyr". It matches the Rfam family "tRNA". Rfam says of the family: Transfer RNA (tRNA) molecules are approximately 80 nucleotides in length. Their secondary structure includes four short double-helical elements and three loops (D, anti-codon, and T loops). Further hydrogen bonds mediate the characteristic L-shaped molecular structure. tRNAs have two regions of fundamental functional importance: the anti-codon, which is responsible for specific mRNA codon recognition, and the 3' end, to which the tRNAs corresponding amino acid is attached (by aminoacyl-tRNA synthetases). tRNAs cope with the degeneracy of the genetic code in two manners: having more than one tRNA (with a specific anti-codon) for a particular amino acid; and 'wobble' base-pairing, i.e. permitting non-standard base-pairing at the 3rd anti-codon position. Lineage: Eukaryota; Metazoa; Chordata; Actinopteri; Plesiopidae. The record is from RNAcentral.
GGUAAAGUGGCUGAGAUUUUAAGCGGUGGAUUGUAGUCCCAUAGACAGAGGUUUAAAUCCUCUCUUUAUCA